This 308-nucleotide ribosomal RNA is filed under the name uncultured bacterium. RNAcentral's name for it is "partial 16S ribosomal RNA". It matches the Rfam family "Bacterial small subunit ribosomal RNA", at positions 505 to 807 of the family's 1533-position model. The record is from RNAcentral.
GAGACAGCAGUAGCCGCGGUAAUACGGAGGGUGCAAGCGUUACUCGGAAUCACUGGGCGUAAAGGACGCGUAGGCGGAUUAUCAAGUCUCUUGUGAAAUCUAACGGCUUAACCGUUAAACUGCUUGGGAAACUGAUAAUCUAGAGUAAGGGAGAGGCAGAUGGAAUUCUUGGUGUAGGGGUAAAAUCCGUAGAUAUCAAGAAGAAUACCUAUUGCGAAGGCGAUCUGCUGGAACUUAACUGACGCUAAUGCGUGAAAGCGUGGGGAGUAAACAGGAUUAGAUACCCGGGUAGUCCCUGUCUCUUAUAC